This 424-nucleotide ribosomal RNA is filed under the name uncultured bacterium. Its description in RNAcentral is "partial 16S ribosomal RNA". It matches the Rfam family "Bacterial small subunit ribosomal RNA", at positions 359 to 775 of the family's 1533-position model. The record is from RNAcentral.
AAAAUUGAACAAUGGGGGGAACCCUGAUCCAGCAAUGCCGCGUGUGUGAGAAAGGCCUUUUGGUUGUAAAGCACUUAAACCGAGGAGGGGGAGCUCUUGGUUAAUACCAAGGAUGCUUGGACUUUCCUGCCAGAAUAAGCACCGGCUACUCCUGUGCCAGCAGCCGCGGUAAUACAGAGGGUGCAAGCGUUAAUCGGAUUUACUGGGCGUAAAGCGCGCGUAGGUGGCCAAUUAAGUCAAAUGUGAAAUCCCCGAGCUUAACUUGGGAAUUGCAUUCGAUACUGGUUGGCUAGAGUAUGGGAGAGGAUGGUAGAAUUCCAGGUGUAGCGGUGAAAUGCGUAGAGAUCUGGAGGAAUACCGAUGGCGAAGGCAGCCAUCUGGCCUAAUACUGACACUGAGGUGCGAAAGCAUGGGGAGCAAACAG